This 269-nucleotide unclassified non-coding RNA is filed under the name Hevea brasiliensis (rubber tree). The record is from RNAcentral. Lineage: Eukaryota; Viridiplantae; Streptophyta; Magnoliopsida; Malpighiales; Euphorbiaceae.
CAAUAUCCAAAAACUUGGGAUAUUGGGGAUAAUAAUCAGGUGCUGCAAAUCCUUCUAAGCGGACCCGUUUAUAAACAAUAGACAUCAAAUUACAAACACCUUCAGGCUGGUCAAGGUUGUACUGUGAGAUCAUUCCGCAUACAGCAAUGCGGCCAUGGACUCUCAUGUUGAGAAGAACAGCAUCAAGCAUUUUCCCACCAACAUUUUCAAAAUAGAUGUCUAUGCCUUCAGGGAAGCAUCUUUUCAAAGCAGCAUCCAAGUUGUGCUCC